Molecule: small nucleolar RNA, 107 nt
Filed under: Cephalotus follicularis
Lineage: Eukaryota; Viridiplantae; Streptophyta; Magnoliopsida; Oxalidales; Cephalotaceae
Description: Plant small nucleolar RNA R71
Rfam family: Plant small nucleolar RNA R71
About the family: R71 is a member of the C/D box family of snoRNAs containing the C (UGAUGA) and D (CUGA) box motifs.
Source: Rfam by way of RNAcentral
AAACCAUGAUGAGGACACUCUAAAAGAAGGCCUUUAAAACGUUCCAUACACCUAGAAAAUGAUUCAUUGGGUUUUUGAUGAAACUGGAGAAUGUCGUUCCUUAGUUU